UACGUUCCCGGCCUUGUACACACCGCCCGUCACUACCACGAAAGUCGGCAACACCCGAAGCCGGUGGCCCAACCGCAAGGAGGAGCCGUCGAAGGUGGGUCGGUGAUUGGGGUG
This 114-nucleotide ribosomal RNA is filed under the name uncultured bacterium. Its description in RNAcentral is "partial 16S ribosomal RNA". It matches the Rfam family "Bacterial small subunit ribosomal RNA", at positions 1367 to 1482 of the family's 1533-position model. The record is from RNAcentral.